GCGCCCGUAGCUCAACGGAUAGAGCAUCUGACUACGGAUCAGAAGGUUUGGGGUUCGAAUCCCUACGGGCGCACAA
Molecule: transfer RNA, 76 nt
Filed under: Gordonia paraffinivorans
Lineage: Bacteria; Bacillati; Actinomycetota; Actinomycetes; Mycobacteriales; Gordoniaceae
Description: tRNA-Arg
Rfam family: tRNA
About the family: Transfer RNA (tRNA) molecules are approximately 80 nucleotides in length. Their secondary structure includes four short double-helical elements and three loops (D, anti-codon, and T loops). Further hydrogen bonds mediate the characteristic L-shaped molecular structure. tRNAs have two regions of fundamental functional importance: the anti-codon, which is responsible for specific mRNA codon recognition, and the 3' end, to which the tRNAs corresponding amino acid is attached (by aminoacyl-tRNA synthetases). tRNAs cope with the degeneracy of the genetic code in two manners: having more than one tRNA (with a specific anti-codon) for a particular amino acid; and 'wobble' base-pairing, i.e. permitting non-standard base-pairing at the 3rd anti-codon position.
Source: RNAcentral